RNAcentral lists this long non-coding RNA (437 nucleotides) under Cyanistes caeruleus (blue tit). Its description in RNAcentral is "lncRNA (ENSCCEG00000009499.1)". Lineage: Eukaryota; Metazoa; Chordata; Aves; Passeriformes; Paridae. The record is from RNAcentral.
UGUGUGCAAGGUGACCAGCUUCUAGCAGUGAGUGAGCCCCUGGAUACCAUUUCAACAAAAUCUACUGUUGCAUCUAUUUGUGCCACACUUCAAGCAAAUAUUGUAUGAAUAGCUCUUGAAUUGUUCCUGUAGUUCUCCUCAGCCUAUUCUAAAUUUAAUUGGAAGAUCUGGGGCUUUCUUUAGGCUGCACUAAUAUGGAGAACAUGAGUUUACACACUCCCAGGAAAAGUAGAGAAUCAACAUUUCUUGAAAUAGUGUUACCUAGUAACAGAAGACACAAGGCUCCCUCUUAUGAUCCAAUGAUUUUUACCACAAGGGAGAUGCCUCUGUGCAGACUAAGGUGCAAGUGAGACCAUACGCUGAAGUCAAUAGUGCAGAUUUUACUCCACAAGAAACGUGAGACAGAGAUAGAGAGAAAUAAAAAAGAAGGAGAGAGG